This 1260-nucleotide ribosomal RNA is filed under the name Triticum aestivum (bread wheat). Its description in RNAcentral is "partial small subunit ribosomal RNA". The record is from RNAcentral. Lineage: Eukaryota; Viridiplantae; Streptophyta; Magnoliopsida; Poales; Poaceae.
AUGUCCGCGGCGGCGCAGGCGACGGCGCCUGCCUCGUCGGACUGGACCACGGAGGAGGGGCAGUGGGUACUCCUCGUGUGCAUGCCGCACGUGGUCUCCGACACGGUGCUCCCGCCGGGCACCGAUCUCUCCGUCGAGCGCGAGCGCCCGCCUCGCCCCUUCCGCCUUACCGUGCCCCGCCGCGUCGCGCCCGACCCCAAGGACAUCUACAACCACCCGUACGUCUCGUCGGUCGGGGAUUUCGGUCGCUUCGUGCUCUACGCCACCCACGGCACGCAGGCUCAGCCGGCGCCGCCGGUCUUCGUCGACGAUUUCGACACCGGUCCGGAUGCGCGGCUCGACCACAAGGGCUUCCCCAGAGCGUUGUUCCUCUGCGACCUCAACACCCGCUCGGCCACCCGCCUCCCGGACCCCGAGCGCCCCAUCUUCCGCCCAGACCCAGGCAGGGUCGGCCUCCUCGCCACCAGUGCGACGAACUCUAUCAUCCUGCACCUAGAGCAUUUGCUCGGCACCAACCAGGCCACCCUCCUCUGCUACAUCUCCGACCACGGCCGUUGGACCGUCCAGGAUCUCUACUGCCCUCCAGGCGCACCAGGCCAGCGGGAGUGGAGGGGAGGGGACGGCGUCAUCAAGUACAUGGAUCUCAUGCUUUGGGUUGAUCUGGCAUGCGGCAUCCUCGCCCUCGACACCAACGGCCUCCUCCUGCAACGCCGGCCGGAACUGCGGUAUGUGCCGCUCCCUGAUGAAUGCCAGAGUCCAGGCAACAAUGGUCUAGCAAGAGAGCGAUGCCUUGGUGUGAGCGAAGGGGUGGUCCGAUUCCUUGAGAUCUCAAAUUAUGAGAGGAUUAGGUUGUGGACACUUGUUGAUAUGGGCACAGGGGACUGGACUCUUGAUCAUCAGCUUGACCUCGAGAACCUCUGGGACGAGGAUGGUUUCAAGGCCAUGGGCCUGCCUAAUGACUGUCCCGCUGUCGCAUUUAUCCACCCUGAGCAUGCCACCAUGGCAUACUUCUUUCAGGAGUCUCGACUAUUCCAUGUUGACAUGAGCACCGGCAAGUUUAUGGAUGUACAGUACUUCAUGAUGGACAACCCGCCGGCUGAUUACCACUCUUCCAGAUUUGUUCGCCCUUGGAAGCUUCCGCAGUCACUCUUCUCAGGGAUAGUUAAUUUGUCUAAUGGUCCAAUCCGGAGAGCAAAAGACAAUGCACCACCUGGGGGUUACCCACUGGAGGGACUUACCGGGCAGACAUUCAUAGGAUGA